GGUGGUUGUAGCUCAGCUGGUUAGAGCGUCGGAUUGUGGUUCCGAAGGUCGCCGGUUCGAGCCCGGUCUUCCACCC
Molecule: transfer RNA, 76 nt
Filed under: Bacteroidota bacterium
Lineage: Bacteria; Pseudomonadati; Bacteroidota
Description: tRNA-His
Rfam family: tRNA
About the family: Transfer RNA (tRNA) molecules are approximately 80 nucleotides in length. Their secondary structure includes four short double-helical elements and three loops (D, anti-codon, and T loops). Further hydrogen bonds mediate the characteristic L-shaped molecular structure. tRNAs have two regions of fundamental functional importance: the anti-codon, which is responsible for specific mRNA codon recognition, and the 3' end, to which the tRNAs corresponding amino acid is attached (by aminoacyl-tRNA synthetases). tRNAs cope with the degeneracy of the genetic code in two manners: having more than one tRNA (with a specific anti-codon) for a particular amino acid; and 'wobble' base-pairing, i.e. permitting non-standard base-pairing at the 3rd anti-codon position.
Source: RNAcentral